This 350-nucleotide long non-coding RNA is filed under the name Ananas comosus (pineapple). Its description in RNAcentral is "long non-coding RNA (ACOM_LNC007897)". The record is from RNAcentral. Lineage: Eukaryota; Viridiplantae; Streptophyta; Magnoliopsida; Poales; Bromeliaceae.
CAGUUUGUUGAACUCAUCAAAUUGAAAAACAUGUUGUGAUUCUUAGGCUUAGUUUGGUAUUGAGGUCUAUCUAACGCUAUUAGAUAAAAUGGAGUUGAGAAAAAAAUAUAUAUGGAUAUGCUUUUGCGUUCUCCGAUAGGAGCGCAGAAAAUAUAUCGUAACCGACUAAUCGCGAUUGCGUUUGCGAUAUGCAGAACGCAAUAUUACGUACGAAAACAAAUAAAAUAUUUUUUCGACGUACUUUCUCACCGCACGUAAUGCAAUAUCCCCGCAAUCCCAAACGAAGCCUUACUACUACCAAAUAUAGAAGGUUUUGAGUUUAAGUUCUACACAUCAAAUAUUCCAACUUA